GACGAACGCUGGCGGCGUGCUUAAAACAUGACAGUAAAACGGAAAAGAAAUGAUUGAAGGGUAAAAGAAUGGAGAAAAGGUAAGACAAACAAAGGUGAAAUAAAAAGAACUUAGAGAACACCAAGGGACACUGGGUCUAAUACCGGAUAGGAGCCAUCUUUAGUGUGGUGGUUGGAAAGUUUUUUCGGUGUAGGAUGAGCUCGCGGCCUAUCAGCUUGUUGGUGGGGUAAUGGCCUACCAAGGCGGCGACGGGUAGCCGGCCUGAGAGGGUGUACGGCCACAUUGGGACUGAGAUACGGCCCAGACUCCUACGGGAGGCAGCAGUGGGGAAUAUUGCACAAUGGGCGCAAGCCUGAUGCAGCGACGCCGCGUGGGUGAUGAAGGCCUUCGGGUUGUAUACUCCUUUCGCUAGGGACGAAGCUUUUUUGUGACGGUACCUAGAUAAGAAGCACCGGCUAACUACGUG
RNAcentral lists this ribosomal RNA (466 nucleotides) under uncultured bacterium. Its description in RNAcentral is "partial 16S ribosomal RNA". It matches the Rfam family "Bacterial small subunit ribosomal RNA", at positions 28 to 507 of the family's 1533-position model. The record is from RNAcentral.